AACGAACGCUGGCGGCAGGCCUAACACAUGCCAGUCGAGCGCACCCUUCGGGGUGAGCGGCGGACGGGUGAGUAACGCGUGGGAACGUGCCCUUCUCUGCGGAAUAGCCUCGGGAAACUGAGAGUAAUACCGCAUACGCCCUUUGGGGGAAAGAUUUAUCGGAGAAGGAUCGGCCCGCGUUGGAUUAGGUAGUUGGUGGGGUAAUGGCCCACCAAGCCGACGAUCCAUAGCUGGUUUGAGAGGAUGAUCAGCCACACUGGGACUGAGACACGGCCCAGACUCCUACGGGAGGCAGCAGUGGGGAAUCUUAGACAAUGGGGGCAAACCUGAUCGAGCCAUGCCGCGUGAGUGAUGAAGGCCUUAGGGUUGUAAAGCUCUUUCAGCUGGGAAGAUAAUGACGGUACCAGCAGAAGAAGCCCCGGCUAACUCCGUG
RNAcentral lists this ribosomal RNA (433 nucleotides) under uncultured bacterium. RNAcentral's name for it is "partial 16S ribosomal RNA". It matches the Rfam family "Bacterial small subunit ribosomal RNA", at positions 29 to 507 of the family's 1533-position model. The record is from RNAcentral.